Molecule: ribosomal RNA, 492 nt
Filed under: uncultured bacterium
Lineage: Bacteria
Description: partial 16S ribosomal RNA
Rfam family: Bacterial small subunit ribosomal RNA
Source: RNAcentral
AGUGAACGCUGGCGGUAGGCCUAACACAUGCAAGUCGAACGGCAGCACAGUAAGAGCUUGCUCUUACGGGUGGCGAGUUGCGGACGGGUGAGGAAUACAUCGGAAUCUACUUUUUCGUGGGGGAUAACGUAGGGAAACUUACGCUAAUACCGCAUACGACCUACGGGUGAAAGCAGGGGAUCUUCGGACCUUGCGCGAUUGAAUGAGCCGAUGUCGGAUUAGCUAGUUGGCGGGGUAAAGGCCCACCAAGGCGACGAUCCGUAGCUGGUCUGAGAGGAUGAUAAGCCACCCUGGGACUGAGAGAAGGUACAGACUCCUACGGGAGGCAGCAGUGAGCAAUAUUGGACAAUGGGAGCAAGACUGAUACGGCCAGAACGCAUGAGUGAAGAAGGAGAUCGUGUAGUAGAGCCUUGUUGUUGGGAAGGAAAAGCAGCAGGUUAAUACCCCGCAGUUCUAACGAUACCAAAAGAAUAAGCACAGGCUAAAUACGUG